AGCGAACGCUGGCGGCAGGCUUAACACAUGCAAGUCGAGCGGGCAUCCUUGUGGUGUCAGCGGCAGACGGGUGAGUAACGCGUGGGAACGUGCCCUUCGGUUCGGAAUAACUCAGGGAAACUUGAGCUAAUACCGGAUACGUGCGAGAGCAGAAAGGUUUAUCUGCCGAAGGAUCGGCCCGCGUCUGAUUAGCUAGUUGGUGAGGUUAUGGCUCACCAAGGGGACGAUCAGUAGCUGGUCUGCGAGGAUGAUCAGCCACACUGGGACUGAGACACGGACCAGACUCCUACGGGAGGCAGCAGUGGGGAAUAUUGGACGAUGGGGGCAACCCUGAUCCAGCCAUGCCGCGUGAGUGAUGACGGCCUUAGGGUUGUAAAGCUCUUUUUUCCGAGACGAUAAUGACGGUACCGGAGGAAUAAGCCCCGGCUAACUUCGUG
RNAcentral lists this ribosomal RNA (437 nucleotides) under uncultured bacterium. RNAcentral describes it as "partial 16S ribosomal RNA". It matches the Rfam family "Bacterial small subunit ribosomal RNA", at positions 29 to 507 of the family's 1533-position model. The record is from RNAcentral.